AGUGAACGCUGGCGGUAGGCCUAACACAUGCAAGUCGAACGGCAACACAGUAAGAGCUUGCUCUUACGGGUGGCGAGUGGCGGACGGGUGAGGAAUACAUCGGAAUCUACUUUUUCGUGGGGGAUAACGUAGGGACACUUCCGCUAAUACCGCAUACGACCUACGGGUUAAAGCAGUGGAUCUUCGGACCUUGCGCGAUUGAAUUAGCCGAUGUCGGAUUAGCUAGUUGGCGGGGUAAAGGCCCACCAAGGCGACGAUCCGUAGCUGGUCUGAGAGGAUGAUCAGCCACACUGGAACUGAGACACGGUCCAGACUCCUACGGGAGGCAGCAGUGGGGAAUAUUGGACAAUGGGCGCAAGCCUGAUCCAGCAAUACCGCGUGGGUGAAGAAGGCCUUCGGGUUGUAAAGCCCUUUUGUUGGGAAAGAAAAGCAGCGGGUUAAUCCAUGGCUGUUCUGACGGUACCUAAAGAAUAAGCACCGGCUAACUUCGUG
This 492-nucleotide ribosomal RNA is filed under the name uncultured bacterium. RNAcentral describes it as "partial 16S ribosomal RNA". It matches the Rfam family "Bacterial small subunit ribosomal RNA", at positions 29 to 507 of the family's 1533-position model. The record is from RNAcentral.